GAUGAACGCUGGCGGCGUGCCUAAUACAUGCAAGUCGAGCGAACAGACGAGGAGCUUGCUCCUCUGACGUUAGCGGCGGACGGGUGAGUAACACGUGGAUAACCUACCUAUAAGACUGGGAUAACUUCGGGAAACCGGAGCUAAUACCGGAUAACAUGUUGAACCGCAUGGUUCAACAGUGAAAGACGGUUUUGCUGUCACUUAUAGAUGGAUCCGCGUCGCAUUAGCUAGUUGGUAAGGUAACGGCUUACCAAGGCAACGAUGCGUGGCCGACCUGAGAGGGUGAUCGGCCACACUGGAACUGAGACACGGUCCAGACUCCUACGGGAGGCAGCAGUAGGGAAUCUUCCGCAAUGGGCGAAAGCCUGACGGAGCAACGCUGCGUGAGUGAAGAAGGUCUUCGGAUCGUAAAACUCUGUUAUUAGGGAAGAACAAAUGUGUAAGUAACUAUGCACGUCUUGACGGUACCUAAUCAGAAAGCCACGGCUAACUACGUG
This 497-nucleotide ribosomal RNA is filed under the name uncultured bacterium. Its description in RNAcentral is "partial 16S ribosomal RNA". It matches the Rfam family "Bacterial small subunit ribosomal RNA", at positions 28 to 507 of the family's 1533-position model. The record is from RNAcentral.